AUUGAACGCUGGCGGCAUGCCUUACACAUGCAAGUCGAACGGCAGCACGGGAGCAAUCCUGGUGGCGAGUGGCGAACGGGUGAGUAAUAUAUCGGAACGUGCCCGGUCGUGGGGAUAACGUAGCGAAAGCUACGCUAAUACCGCAUACGAUCUACGGAUGAAAGCGGGGGAUCGCAGGACCUCGCGCGAUUGGAGCGGCCGAUAUCAGAUUAGGUAGUUGGUGAGGUAAAGGCUCACCAAGCCGACGAUCUGUAGCUGGUCUGAGAGGACGACCAGCCACACUGGGACUGAGACACGGCCCAGACUCCUACGGGAGGCAGCAGUGGGAAUUUUGGACAAUGGGCGCAAGCCUGAUCCAGCAAUGCCGCGUGCAGGAUG
This 378-nucleotide ribosomal RNA is filed under the name uncultured bacterium. RNAcentral describes it as "bacterial SSU rRNA". It matches the Rfam family "Bacterial small subunit ribosomal RNA", at positions 30 to 410 of the family's 1533-position model. The record is from RNAcentral.